This is a non-coding RNA of Schistosoma rodhaini, 45 nucleotides long. The record is from Rfam. Lineage: Eukaryota; Metazoa; Platyhelminthes; Trematoda; Strigeidida; Schistosomatidae.
AUCCAGCUGACGAGUCCUAAAUAGGACGAAGCUCGUGUCUUGGAU